GUAUAUGUGUGUGAGCACGCCGAGCCCGGUUUAGUGCCAUGGCGGCGCGCGCGUAGAGACCUGAUCCACAAUGACGCGUGAGUGAUGAAGGCCUUCAGGUUGUAAAGCUCUUUCGGUUGGGAAGAAAGGGGUGUGUGUUAAUACAGAAUGCUUUUGAAGGAACCAAAAAAAAAACCCCCGGAUAACUUCGUGCCAACAACAGCGGUAAAACUCUUCCCACCGAAAGGCUUUCACCUAGGCUUCUACUCAGCGGCAUGGCUGGACAGGUUUUCCCCUUGUCAAUAUUCCAUGCUGCUCCUUAGCCCCCUGCCCCACCCACCUCCCUGUGGGGAGAAAA
Molecule: ribosomal RNA, 337 nt
Filed under: uncultured bacterium
Lineage: Bacteria
Description: partial 16S ribosomal RNA
Source: RNAcentral